RNAcentral lists this transfer RNA (68 nucleotides) under Columbella adansoni. RNAcentral's name for it is "tRNA-Ser". Lineage: Eukaryota; Metazoa; Mollusca; Gastropoda; Neogastropoda; Columbellidae. The record is from RNAcentral.
AGAAAAAACUUGGAGUGAGACAGGGCUGCUAACUUUGUUUUGGGUAAUUCGAUUUUAUCCUUUUUCUU